Molecule: long non-coding RNA, 957 nt
Filed under: Marmota monax (woodchuck)
Lineage: Eukaryota; Metazoa; Chordata; Mammalia; Rodentia; Sciuridae
Source: RNAcentral
AAACAAAACCACAAACCAAACUACAGUCUGAGAGAAAACAUUGGUAACAGCCAUAUCUGAUAAAAGGUAUAUAUACAAACUCACGUACCUAUAUACAUAUGUAAACUUAAGACAAAUUAAUAAGCCACUCCCAAAAGAAAAACCAAUCAAAGUAGACAAACAAUUCAAGGAGACAUUUCACAAAUUAAAAUAGAUCAACUGACAAUAAGCAAUGAAAAGAGAUACUUAAAAUCUCAGUUGGCCAUCAGGGUGAUGAAAAUUCAAAUCAGUAGAGGGAACAGUGGCCACGCANGGCGGGCCUGCGACCCACCGGCAGAAGAGGAGCAGCGGCCUGCUGAGAGGCAGAGCCGCCCCCUCCCCCUGCACCGGCAAGGUAGAGGGAACUGUGACCACGCACAGAGCAGGCCCAGCGGCCUGCUGAGGGGCAGAGCCGCCCCCCACCCCCCACGCCUCCCAGGUAGGUGGAACGGUGACCACCGACAGAAAAGGCCCAGUGGCCCGCGGCGGGACAGAGCUUCCAAUCACUCCUGCAAGGUAGGCGGGCCUGUGACCCACCGGCAGAAGAGGAGCAGCGGCCUGCUGAGAGGCUGAGCCGCCCCCUCCCCCUGUGCCGGCAAAGUAGAGGGAACUGUGACCAUGCACGGAGCAGGCCCAGCGGCCUGCUGAGGGGCAGAGCCGCCCCACACCCCCCGCGUCUGCCAGGUAGGGGAACUGUGACCACCGACAGAAAAGGCCCAGUGGCCCGCGGCGGGACAGAGCUUCCAAUCACUCCUGCAAGGUAGGCGGGCCUGCAACCCACCGGCAGAAGAGGAGCAGCGACCUGCUGAGAGGCAGAGCCGCCCCCUCCCCCCAGCGCCUGCAAGGUAGACGGAACUGUGACCACCAUCAGAGCAGGCCAGACCUGCAACCAAGAGACAGAACAGGCCCAGUGGCCUGAGGAAGGGUAGAGCCGCCCCC